RNAcentral lists this transfer RNA (78 nucleotides) under Klenkia terrae. Its description in RNAcentral is "partial tRNA-fMetCAT". It matches the Rfam family "tRNA". From Rfam's summary of the family: Transfer RNA (tRNA) molecules are approximately 80 nucleotides in length. Their secondary structure includes four short double-helical elements and three loops (D, anti-codon, and T loops). The record is from RNAcentral. Lineage: Bacteria; Bacillati; Actinomycetota; Actinomycetes; Geodermatophilales; Geodermatophilaceae.
ACGCGGGGUGGAGCAGCUCGGUAGCUCGCUGGGCUCAUAACCCAGAGGUCACAGGUUCAAAUCCUGUCCCCGCUACCA